This 2718-nucleotide long non-coding RNA is filed under the name Helianthus annuus (common sunflower). Its description in RNAcentral is "hypothetical non coding rna". The record is from RNAcentral. Lineage: Eukaryota; Viridiplantae; Streptophyta; Magnoliopsida; Asterales; Asteraceae.
UAAAUCAUCUUUUGAUUCUUCUCCUUUACACAAUCGCAACUCAAACCCUAACUUCCAUUACAAACCCUAAAACCUACCGUCAUCUCUUUGAUCUUCCAAUCAUUUUACACAACCCCUAACUUCCAUCUUUCUCCUCUGAGCCUUAAUACAAACCCUAACUUACAGCGGCUGUUUUUGUUUUGGCAAGACCUUUUUUUUGUGGUGAAAGCCCUAAAUCAUUCUGAAAUAUAUCUUGUGAUACGUUCUAUGUUGGUUUGCUAUCGAUGGAUUCAGCACCAUAUCCGCCGCUGCGCAUCCUCCAAACCCUAGAUCUGAUACCGGAGCACUCUAGAUAGCUCUGCUACCUGAUGAAGAAGAUAAUUAGUUCGUCUAAAGGCUUCUUGGUCAACCAUGUGUUUGGUAGUUGUUUUGGCGUGGUAACGAAUGUUGCAACCAAACAGAGAUCUGAGCUUCAUAGGCUACAAUAAAAGUCUCUGCCUUUGAGUUGUGGCGUGCGUUUCAGCUCACUACAGAUCUAGCCAUUGGAAUUUGGAGCUUAGUACCCACACGCAUUUUAGAAUUGAAUUCGUGUUGGUAUUCUUUAAAAAACAUCAAAUUAUUAUAUCACCAAAUCAUGAAGGAAAAUAAUGAACAAUCAAAUUGUUAUAUCACCAAAUCAUGAAUGGAAAUAAUUUCUUUAAGUACAGAGUUGCGGGUUCUUUCGGUCCAGUUUAGUUUAUACACGGAGACAAAGAAUAUGUUCAAAAAAUGGUUAUUUGUGUUCAUUUUGUUCAUGUUUGUUGUUGUUGAUUUUCUCAUCUUAUAAUCUCUCAAAUUACUUCAAUUCGUAUGCAUGAUAAGUUGAAAGUCCUAUUCUGGAAAACCAAGAUAAUUAUAUUAGUAUCGUGACUGCUAUUGCUGCACCCAAAAGUAUCGAAGUUGAUUUUGGAAGAAACUGAGGGCAUGUUGGGGGUGACCGUCUUAAUGGCACAAAGGAUGUAAGACGGUUUUUUUGCAAGCUUACAUAAUCGAAAUCUAACUUUUACGGGGCACUUCUUUUGUCUUGAAGACAUUGUUUUACUAGGCACUUCUUUAGCUUCAUCAUAUUAGAGGUAUCUUCUUAUAGAAUUGAAAGUAGGUCUUGAAGUUGUUGAUCCUGGUGCGUCAAACUCUGGUGAGAAGAUUACUGAAGCAAAAAAAUCAUGUUUUUUGUCGUUAAAGAAGGUUCAAAUGUUAGCAACAAGUCAUUCUAGCAAAAUUAUUCAUGUUCAAGCUGCAUGAGCUGGUGAUUUUUGUACCUUCCAAGAUGCCUUUUUUGGAGGUUAUUAUGUCUAUAGUGUUCAAUACUGCCUGAGAUGAAGCAGAGGUAAUUUGAUGCUUUGAACGUCCGAUGGCUGAGAUGGAUCAAAAGUCAUAAAAGGUCUACUCUUUAAUGCCGAAAACAUCCUAAGUAGCUUUAUGCGUAUAAUUAGAGUUUUUUUUUUCCAAAAAGGGUGUUAGUGGAAAAAUUAUUUACCAAAAUAGGUGAUUUGAAAACUAUUUACCAAAAUGGGCUCUUUAUUUGUUUUUUAGUUAAAAAAAAUAAAAAAGGCCGCUCCUUUCUAUUUGCCUCUCUCUCGAGAAAUAGUCGAUCCAAAUCUGAAGAUUCGAUUUUUCGGGUUCGGUUUUGUUGGUCGUCUACGAUCACAAGUUUGAUUCUUGUUGGUCAUUCUUUGUUUUGCUCAACAGUUUAGGUCCCAUUAUGCUUAACGAUUAUGAUUUCUUAGUUUUUUUAAUCAGGUUUCUAUCAUUUGAUUAUAAAGUUGAACGUUUGAUUUAUCCUGAUGCAUUAUGAUAAAAAAUAGAAAAAGAAUAACAUUAAACAAUAAUGUUUAAGCAAAAUCGGACGUAAAUCGUUGAGCAAAAUCGUACCGGAAUUGUUGAGCAAAAUCGGACUUGAAUAGUUGAACAUAAUCGAAGAACAAACAACAAGAAUCAAAUACGUGAUUGUAGAACGAUCAGCGAAAUCAAACCUUCCAACCAGUGAUUGAACCUUUGAUUGAAGAAACUGAUAUAGAUCGAAUCGGAUUGGGGGAAUCCAGAAGAAUAACAGAUAGACAACUUGGAGAUUAGGGAGAUAAUUUACUCAUUUCAUUCCUACAGGAAACAAACAUUAACGGAAUAUCAUACCAUGAAACACUACUUGCUAAUUCAAAUGAAAAGAUACCCACUGCAAGAAUUAUAAACAUAGAAUACUCAAACUGUCCCAAAGUCUACUGUAAUGAGCAUGGUUGAAGCAUGAACUAGGUUGACCCACUCCCAUUAUAUGUGUUAUUGGCUAUGAUUUGGGUAACACAAACGAAACUGGUUGAACCAUUGAUUGAAGAAACGAAAGUGAUCGAACCCGUGAUUGAACCUUUGAACCGAGGACCUGAUAGCUGAUUUAGGAAUCGACAAAGAAUCUGGAUCGAACUUCUCUUGACAAAGGGAUUGAUUGAAAGGAGAGGCUUUUUAUUUUAUUUUUUUUAUCAAAAAGAAAUAAAUAAAAACACCCAUUUUGGUAAAUAUUUUUCAAAUCACCCAUUUUGGUUAAUAUUUUUUUCACCAACACCUAUUUGGAAAAAAACUUCAUAUAAUUAGAUAAAAAUUGUAAUUAUAGUGCAUUUAUUAUACCUGGGAGUAAAUUUAUUUUGUUAAAGUAAAAGAAUAUUUAAAGAAAAGUGUUUAUGGUCAACCAAUAAUUGGAUUUCAUUAUUUUUU